CGGGCUAAAUCCGUGGUGACCGCCCCCGAAACGGGGCUUCCCUUCGGGGCGCCAGGGAAGGUGCUGCAUGGCUGUCGUCAGCUCGUGCCGUGAGGUGUUGCCUUAAGUGGCGCAACGAGCGCAACCCCUGUGGUUAGUUACCAGCACGUGAAGGUGGGGACUCUAGCCAGACUGCCUACGCAAGUAGUGAGGAAGGUGGGGAUGACGUGCUUGCUAGGUAA
RNAcentral lists this unclassified non-coding RNA (221 nucleotides) under uncultured Bacteroidota bacterium. RNAcentral's name for it is "uncultured Bacteroidetes bacterium contains 16S-23S intergenic spacer region". It matches the Rfam family "Bacterial small subunit ribosomal RNA", at positions 978 to 1196 of the family's 1533-position model. The record is from RNAcentral. Lineage: Bacteria; Pseudomonadati; Bacteroidota.